UACGUAGGGUGCAAGCGUUAAUCGGAAUUACUGGGCGUAAAGCGUGCGCAGGCGGUUAUGUAAGACAGAUGUGAAAUGCCCGGGCUUAACCUGGGAACUGCAUUUGUGACUGCAUGGCUAGAGUUUGGCAGAGGGGGGUAGAAUUCCACGUGUAGCAGUGAAAUGCGUAGAUAUGUGGAGGAACACCGAUGGCGAAGGCAGCCCCCUGGGUCAAGACUGACGCUCAUGCACGAAAGCCAGGGGAGCGAACGGG
RNAcentral lists this ribosomal RNA (253 nucleotides) under uncultured bacterium. RNAcentral describes it as "partial 16S ribosomal RNA". It matches the Rfam family "Bacterial small subunit ribosomal RNA", at positions 524 to 776 of the family's 1533-position model. The record is from RNAcentral.